This 443-nucleotide ribosomal RNA is filed under the name uncultured bacterium. Its description in RNAcentral is "partial 16S ribosomal RNA". It matches the Rfam family "Bacterial small subunit ribosomal RNA", at positions 338 to 795 of the family's 1533-position model. The record is from RNAcentral.
CCUACGGGUGGCUGCAGUGGGGAAUAUUGGGCAAUGGGCGCAAGCCUGACCCAGCAACGCCGCGUGAAGGAAGAAGGCUUUCGGGUUGUAAACUUCUUUUCUCAGGGACGAAGCAAGUGACGGUACCUGAGGAAUAAGCCACGGCUAACUACGUGCCAGCAGCCGCGGUAAUACGUAGGUGGCAAGCGUUAUCCGGAUUUACUGGGUGUAAAGGGCGUGUAGGCGGGGACGCAAGUCAGAUGUGAAAACCACGGGCUCAACCUGUGGCCUGCAUUUGAAACUGUGUUUCUUGAGUACUGGAGGGGCAGACGGAAUUCCUAGGGUAGCGGGGAAAUGCGUAGAUAUUAAGAGGGACACCAGUGGCGGAGGCGGUCUGCUGGACAGCAACUGACGCUGGGGCGCGAAAGCGUGGGGAGCAAACAGGAUUAGAAACCCCGGUAGUC